CAGCAGCAAGCACCACACAUGGCUCCACGCAGAUCAUCUUGGGUGUCGCCAGCCCAAGGGUGUAUUAAGAUCAAUGUAGACAGCGCAGUGUCUGUGAGGGGGAAGCAUGGUGCAGUGGGAGCAGUAUGUAGAGACCAACAUGGCGUUUUUCUUGGGGCCUCGGCGAUUGUCUUCAAGCACAUAACGAAUCCUCAAACGCUAGAAGCUCUAGCUAUAAGGGAAGCUCUCUCCCUAGCGGAUGAUCUAUAUGCCCGACGCAUUCAUGUUGCUUCAGAUUGUAAGGUAGUUGUUGAUGAUUUGCAUCAUGGCAAGUUUGCUGCUUAUGGCGCCGUUCUGCGUGAGAUUUCAGACCGUUCGUUAAUCUUCCUUCAUGUAAUAUAUGUCAUGAAUUUAGGAGCUCAAACUAUGAGACUCACAACCUAA
RNAcentral lists this ribosomal RNA (423 nucleotides) under Triticum aestivum (bread wheat). RNAcentral's name for it is "partial small subunit ribosomal RNA". The record is from RNAcentral. Lineage: Eukaryota; Viridiplantae; Streptophyta; Magnoliopsida; Poales; Poaceae.